ACGCUGGCGGCAGGCCUAACACAUGCAAGUCGAGCGGUAGAGAGAAGCUUGCUUCUCUUGAGAGCGGCGGACGGGUGAGUAAUGCCUAGGAAUCUGCCUGGUAGUGGGGGAUAACGUUCGGAAACGGACGCUAAUACCGCAUACGUCCUACGGGAGAAAGCAGGGGACCUUCGGGCCUUGCGCUAUCAGAUGAGCCUAGGUCGGAUUAGCUAGUUGGUGAGGUAAUGGCUCACCAAGGCGACGAUCCGUAACUGGUCUGAGAGGAUGAUCAGUCACACUGGAACUGAGACACGGUCCAGACUCCUACGGGAGGCAGCAGUGGGGAAUAUUGGACAAUGGGCGAAAGCCUGAUCCAGCCAUGCCGCGUGUGUGAAGAAGGUCUUCGGAUUGUAAAGCACUUUAAGUUGGGAGGAAGGGCAUUAACCUAAUACGUUAGUGUUUUGACGUUACCGACAGAAUAAGCACCGGCUAACUCUGUGCCAGCAGCCGCGGUAAUACAGAGGGUGCAAGCGUUAAUCGGAAUUACUGGGCGUAAAGCGCGCGUAGGUGGCUUGUUAAGUUGGAUGUGAAAUCCCCGGGCUCAACCUGGGAACUGCAUUCAAAACUGACUGACUAGAGUAUGGUAGAGGGUGGUGGAAUUUCCUGUGUAGCGGUGAAAUGCGUAGAUAUAGGAAGGACACACCAGUGGCGAAGGCGACCACCUGGACUAAUACUGACACUGAGGUGCGAAAGCGUGGGGAGCAAAC
RNAcentral lists this ribosomal RNA (746 nucleotides) under uncultured bacterium. Its description in RNAcentral is "bacterial SSU rRNA". It matches the Rfam family "Bacterial small subunit ribosomal RNA", at positions 33 to 773 of the family's 1533-position model. The record is from RNAcentral.